GGGGUCUGAGAAUUAUGGUCUCCCAUCGCAUUCUCACCCCCAGACUCUCUACCCGAAGCAGCCAUGGAAAAGAAGCAAAACAAAAGUCCAAGGGAAGAGUGAAAUGGUAAAGGAGAAACCUUGCAAGGGGGGACGAUGACGAGAAGUCCGACAAAAAUGAAGGACCGACAACGAUGAAAGCCGACUGAGAUGAAGACAACCGACUGUGAUGGAAUCUAACCUCCAGAAACCCUGGGCUCGCUGUCACGUGGCAAGGGAUCAAGGGGCCGGAGGAAGGGGCAAGAGCUCUGGAGUUGGAAGAGGGCUUGAAGGUAGGGGGACCCCUAUUUAUAGACCUCCUCGAUGGCCAAGAUCAAUGUAGAAAGCCACACCUUGCAUGGAGAUUUCGACACAUGGCUGCAAUCUCAACCGACUAGUUUCUUGGCUUUUCGAUGCACCAUUGCUAGGAUCGCACCACGUCAGCUGGAUC
This 469-nucleotide long non-coding RNA is filed under the name Elaeis guineensis (African oil palm). RNAcentral describes it as "long non-coding RNA (EGUI_LNC018583)". The record is from RNAcentral. Lineage: Eukaryota; Viridiplantae; Streptophyta; Magnoliopsida; Arecales; Arecaceae.